Molecule: ribosomal RNA, 489 nt
Filed under: uncultured bacterium
Lineage: Bacteria
Description: partial 16S ribosomal RNA
Rfam family: Bacterial small subunit ribosomal RNA
Source: RNAcentral
GAUGAACGCUAGCUACAGGCUUAACACAUGCAAGUCGAGGGGCAGCAUGAUUGAAGCUUGCUUCAAUCGAUGGCGACCGGCGCACGGGUGAGUAACACGUAUCCAACCUGCCGAUAACUCGGGGAUAGCCUUUCGAAAGAAAGAUUAAUACCCGAUAGUAUAGUAUUUCCGCAUGGUUUCACUAUUAAAGAACUUCGGUUAUCGAUGGGGAUGCGUUCCAUUAGAUAGUUGGCGGGGUAACGGCACACCAAGUCAACGAUGGAUAGGGGUUAGGAGAGGAAGGUCCCCCACAAUGGAACUGAGACACGGUCCACACUCCGACGGGAGGCAGCAGUGAGGAACAUUGGUCAAUGGACGCGAGUCUGACCCAGCCAAGUAGCGUGAAGGAGGCCUGCCCUAUGGGUUGUCAACUUCUUUUAUACGGGAAUAAAGUGGAGUAUGCAUACUCCUUUGUAGGUACCGUAUGAAUAAGGAACGGCUAACUCCGUG